This 404-nucleotide long non-coding RNA is filed under the name Mus pahari (shrew mouse). RNAcentral's name for it is "lncRNA (MGP_PahariEiJ_G0004294.1)". The record is from RNAcentral. Lineage: Eukaryota; Metazoa; Chordata; Mammalia; Rodentia; Muridae.
ACGCUGAAGAGAGCAGGGGUGCGGUGUUCGAUGUGAGGCAGAGCCAUGCAUAAGUGGGGAGGUUUUACACUGGAGACAGAAAGCAUUCCAGUUUGCCAGCGAGUGUGUAAAAGACGGUCAGAGUGUAAAGCAAGACAAGUCAGGACGCCUGGGAUGCUACAGUCCUUAAUUUGUGUCCUGCCUGGUAAGCAAAAGGAAGCUCCAAGAAAAACCACACUCCAGUCAACACGAAGCUUGGAAACAGACAACCACGGAAAGACCAGGAAGGCAGCUGUUCUCCAUGCACAGGAGAUGCACAGAGACUCGGCACUGUGUUGGCAAGGACCUAUCUCUUCUCUAACUGAAUGUCAAAGUUGACACAUUCUUGGAGAUAGGCAAAUAUAUCUGUUGGUAAAAUGCAUGCC